Molecule: transfer RNA, 40 nt
Filed under: Boana rosenbergi (Rosenberg's treefrog)
Lineage: Eukaryota; Metazoa; Chordata; Amphibia; Anura; Hylidae
Description: partial tRNA-Gln
Source: RNAcentral
UAGAAAAAUAGGAGUUGAACCUAUAGUAAAGAGAUCAAAA